ACUUUGGGUUUUAUGCUGAGACAGACCAUUACAAGGUUUUCAGCAUAAGAGUUUACAUGAUUGGAUAUAUAUUUUAACAGGAUCACACUUGACUUGUGAUGCUAGGACAGAAAGUCAUGAGACUUGAGCAGUAAAUCAGAAGAGAUAGGACAUUCCCUUGGACCAGGAUGGUGGCAAUGGAGAUGAUAAAUUGUUGAGUUUGGGGAUGUAUUUGCUAAAUAGUGUGGUCAGGAUUUAUGAUGAGCUAGAUUUUAGGUGGAGUAGGGGUGUGUGUGUGUGUGUGUGUGAGAGAGAGAGAGAGAGAGAGAGAGAGAGAGAGAAUCCAGGAUGACUUCAGUUUUUAGCCUAGCAGCUGAAAGAAUGGAGUUGUUAUUAACUGCAGUGGAAAAGACUGCAGGGCAAGAUGGAGGGAUUACAAGGGGCUCAGUUCUGAAUGUACUGAUUUUGAUUGGGGUUCCUUUAUCUUUCCUUCAGGGAACCUCAGCCCAUCAUAAAAUCGGUACUAGUUUGUACCCCAAUUUUAAACCAGGUUCACCUUUCAUAGAAGGUGACCUACUUCUGCCUGGGUAUUGGUAGAAUUCUUUCUUUAUCCUUGAAGUUCAGUAACUUCAUCAGGAUAUAUCUCGGUCUUGGUGUGAUUCUCUAUUACAUUUUCCUGUUACAUGCGGACUCGCACAGUCAGUAUGACUCAGUAUGCCAGCAACAUACUCAGUAUUGUGAAUGACUUUACUACUUCAGAAUCUGCUGCUGCUGCUAAGUCGCUUCAGUCGUGUCUGACUCUGCGUGACCCCAUAGACGGCAGCCCACCAGGCUCCCCCGUCCCUGGGAUUCUCCAGGCAAGAACACUGAAGUGGGUUGC
Bubalus bubalis (water buffalo) is the source of this 859-nucleotide long non-coding RNA. RefSeq lists it as uncharacterized. The record is from RefSeq and is a predicted model, not a curated record. Lineage: Eukaryota; Metazoa; Chordata; Mammalia; Artiodactyla; Bovidae. The transcript is spliced from 3 exons.